This 377-nucleotide ribosomal RNA is filed under the name uncultured bacterium. RNAcentral's name for it is "bacterial SSU rRNA". It matches the Rfam family "Bacterial small subunit ribosomal RNA", at positions 29 to 395 of the family's 1533-position model. The record is from RNAcentral.
AACGAACGCUGGCGGCGUGCCUAACACAUGCAAGUCGAGCGCGAAUGGAGCAAUCCUAGUAGAGCGGCGCACGGGUGCGUAACACGUGGGUAAUCUGCCUCAAAGCCCGGGAUAACCUGCCGAAAGGCAAGCUAAUACCGGAUAAGCCUACGGACUCUUCGGGGUCUGAAGGAAAAGGUGGCCUCUGUAUACAAGCUAUCACUUUGAGAUGAGCCCGCGGCCCAUCAGCUCGUUGGCGGGGUAACGGCCACCAAGGCAACGACGGGUAGCUGGUCUGAGAGGACGGUCAGCCACACUGGAACUGAGACACGGUCCAGACUCCUACGGGAGGCAGCAGUGGGAAUUUUGCGCAAUGGGCGAAAGCCUGACCCAGCAAC